RNAcentral lists this ribosomal RNA (687 nucleotides) under uncultured bacterium. RNAcentral describes it as "bacterial SSU rRNA". It matches the Rfam family "Bacterial small subunit ribosomal RNA", at positions 56 to 756 of the family's 1533-position model. The record is from RNAcentral.
UGCAGUCGACGAUGAAGGAGGAGCUUGCUCCUCCGGAUUAGUGGCGAACGGGUGAGUAAUACGUGAGCAAUGUGCCCUUGACUCUGGGAUAAGCGCUGGAAACGGCGUCUAAUACCGGAUACGACGAUCGGAGGCAUCUCCUGGUCGUGGAAAGAACUUCGGUCAAGGAUCAGCUCACGGCCUAUCAGCUAGUUGGUGAGGUAACGGCUCACCAAGGCGACGACGGGUAGCCGGCCUGAGAGGGUGACCGGCCACACUGGGACUGAGACACGGCCCAGACUCCUACGGGAGGCAGCAGUGGGGAAUAUUGCACAAUGGGCGCAAGCCUGAUGCAGCAACGCCGCGUGAGGGACGAAGGCCUUCGGGUUGUAAACCUCUUUUAGCAGGGAAGAAGCGAAAGUGACGGUACCUGCAGAAAAAGCACCGGCUAACUACGUGCCAGCAGCCGCGGUAAUACGUAGGGUGCAAGCGUUGUCCGGAAUUAUUGGGCGUAAAGAGCUCGUAGGCGGUUUGUCACGUCUGCUGUGAAAACCCGAGGCUCAACCUCGGGCUUGCAGUGGGUACGGGCAGACUAGAGUGCGGUAGGGGAGAUUGGAAUUCCUGGUGUAGCGGUGGAAUGCGCAGAUAUCAGGAGGAACACCGAUGGCGAAGGCAGAUCUCUGGGCCGUAACUGACGCUGAGGAGCGA